UUACUUGUUUUGCCCAAGAAUUUUUUCUGGGGUUAAGGGAAAAAAUCACCACUGGCCUUGGUAUUGGGAGGUUUUCUACCCCUCAUUUCUCGGCUUAAAUACGGCUAGUUUUAUUUUAACUGGUAGUUACCUUUUGGUAGUAACCCUACAUAAAAGCAUCCCUACCGAAAUAAAAUCUAGGUGAGCCUUUUUGGCUCCACCCCAAAC
This 207-nucleotide unclassified non-coding RNA is filed under the name uncultured fungus. Its description in RNAcentral is "sequence contains ITS2". Lineage: Eukaryota; Fungi. The record is from RNAcentral.